Molecule: long non-coding RNA, 237 nt
Filed under: Gossypium barbadense (sea-island cotton)
Lineage: Eukaryota; Viridiplantae; Streptophyta; Magnoliopsida; Malvales; Malvaceae
Description: long non-coding RNA (GBAR_LNC009814)
Source: RNAcentral
UCAAUUUCAAUCCACUAUUCAACUUUUUCGUUUCUUUCAAUAUUUCACUAAUAUAAUCAAUCAAUUUAUUUUAAAUUUCUAAUUUUAGAUAUUCACCCUAUUAACAAAAUCCGGACUUUGACGGAUACACGGAUUCCAACCCAACACACCAGUACGGCACAUUGUGCCUAAAAUGGUACAUAGUACCUGAUCAGUAUACGACACAUAAAGUGCCUAAAACGACACACGAGGUGCCUG